CCUACGGGUGGCUGCAGUCGAGGAUCUUCGGCAAUGGGCGCAAGCCUGACCGAGCGACGCCGCGUGUGGGAUGAAGGCCUUCGGGUUGUAAACCACUGUCAGUGGGGAGGAAGGCCCUGUGAAGAGCAGGGUUUGACCUAUCCGCAGAGGAAGUGUGGGCUAAGUUCGUGCCAGCAGCCGCGGUAAGACGAACCACACAAACGUUAUUCGGAAUUACUGGGCUUAAAGGGUGCGUAGGCGGCGCGGUAAGUUGGGUGUGAAAUCCCUCGGCUCAACCGAGGAAUUGCGCUUGAUACUGCCGUGCUCGAGGGAGACAGAGGUGAGCGGAACUUAGGGUGGAGCGGUGAAAUGCGUUGAUAUCCUAAGGAACACCAGUGGCGAAAGCGGCUCACUGGGUCUCUUCUGACGCUGAGGCACGAAAGCUAGGGGAGCGAACGGGA
RNAcentral lists this ribosomal RNA (440 nucleotides) under uncultured bacterium. Its description in RNAcentral is "bacterial SSU rRNA". It matches the Rfam family "Bacterial small subunit ribosomal RNA", at positions 338 to 777 of the family's 1533-position model. The record is from RNAcentral.